CAGGCCUUCAUUUUUCAAAAAGAGAUUUUCUAGUUCUAGUCAAAUGGUGGUGCUAGUUCUUCAUUUUUGAGGCAUUGCAUUUCCUAAUUUCUUGGUCAUAACAACCUCCUGUGUAUUGCCACAGAGCAGAUUUCACCAAAACAGAGAAUGCAAGGGCACAUGCACAGAAGCUGUUUAAUGGGCUAGAAAGGUUAAUAGUCCUUUCUCCUGCAUAUUCUAUAGUGUAAGAAGACAGACAGACUGUGAGAUUCUUCUGUACAACCUGGAGACUUUGAUUAGACUUGAAGGAAGAAAAGUUACAGGCUGUCCUCUCCACUCCCUAGUCUUGGAGAUCUUCAAAAGGUACAGUUGUUAAUUAAAAAGAAUUAAGGGUUUUUGAACUAUGAACAAAAAGUAAACAAUUGUGGAGUUGAACUAUGGAAGAAAUGACCAGCACUUAUUACUUUGGUGCUCAUCUUGCUUGCAGUCAUGUGCCAGGACAACCUAGGUAAAUACAUGCUAUUCCAUGGUGCUCAUUAAGAAGAAAGUCAAAAGAGAAAGGAAACAUUUUAAAAGCAAUUAGAGUUGAAAAUAACAAGAAUAAAGAGAAGGGUAAGAGAAGGAAAGGGGCAGGAGAUACUGUCAUAGCAUCAGCAACAUGAUAGCAAUAGUACUGGAGCUAUUAGAGUAAUUUCAAAUCCAUAUGUGACUCUCUUGCUAGAUCACAAUCCUUGACUCUUUCAAUCUCUGAGUUGCCUUUAUAAUCCUCUCGCCUCCCAAUUUAAUUUAAUAAGCAUUACUCUAUUUAUUAAAUUCCAGUUAUAUGUAGAAAGCUUUUCUAGAUGCUGAACAUAAAAGAUUAAAAAAAAAAAC
Molecule: long non-coding RNA, 852 nt
Organism: Sarcophilus harrisii (Tasmanian devil)
Lineage: Eukaryota; Metazoa; Chordata; Mammalia; Dasyuromorphia; Dasyuridae
Exons: 2
Source: RefSeq, a predicted model, not a curated record